AAUAUUGGACAAUGGGGGGAACCCUGAUCCAGCCAUGCCGCGUGUGUGAAGAAGGUCUUCGGAUUGUAAAGCCCUUUAAGUUGGGAGGACGGGCAGUACGCUAAUACCUUGCUGUUUUGACGUUACCGACAGAAUAAGCACCGGCUAACUUCGUCCCAGCAGCCGCGGUAAUACGAAGGGUGCAAGCGUUAAUCGGAAUUACUGGGCGUAAAGCGCGCGUAGGUGGUUCGUUAAGUUGGAAGUGAAAGCCCCGGGCUUAACCUGGGAAUUGCUUUCAAAACUGACGAGCUAGAGUACGGUAGAGGGUAGUGGAAUUUCCUGUGUAGCGGUAAAAUGCGUAGAUAUAGGAAGGAACACCAGUGGCGAAGGCGACUACCUGGACUGAUACUGACACUGAGGUGCGAAAGCGUGGGGAGCAAACAGG
This 424-nucleotide ribosomal RNA is filed under the name uncultured bacterium. Its description in RNAcentral is "partial 16S ribosomal RNA". It matches the Rfam family "Bacterial small subunit ribosomal RNA", at positions 360 to 776 of the family's 1533-position model. The record is from RNAcentral.